Molecule: ribosomal RNA, 754 nt
Filed under: uncultured bacterium
Lineage: Bacteria
Description: bacterial SSU rRNA
Rfam family: Bacterial small subunit ribosomal RNA
Source: RNAcentral
AGAGUUUGAUCCUGGCUCAGAUCAACGCUGGCGCGCGCUUAACACAUGCAAGUCGCACGAGAAAGUGGAGCAAUCCAUGAGUACAGUGGCGUACGGGUGAGUAACACGUGGAUCAUCUACCUCUUGAUGGGGAAUAACCCUGGGAAACCGGGGCUAAUACCGCAUAAGCCUGAAAAGGGAAAGCAGCAAUGCGUCGAGAGAGGAGUCCGCGGCCGAUUAGCUAGUUGGUAGGGUAAAGGCCUACCAAGGCAAUGAUCGGUAGCCGGCCUGAGAGGGCACACGGCCACACUGGCACUGAAACACGGGCCAGACUCCUACGGGAGGCAGCAGUGGGGAAUCUUGCACAAUGGAGGAAACUCUGAUGCAGCGACGCCGCGUGAGCGAUGAAGCCCUUCGGGGUGUAAGGCUCUUUCGGCAGGAACGAUAAUGACGGUACCUGCAGAAGAAGCUGCGGCUAACUACGUGCCAGCAGCCGCGGUAAUACGUAGGCAGCAAGCGUUGUUCGGAAUUACUGGGCGUAAAGAGUGUGUAGGCGGUUCUCUAAGUUCCGUGUGAAAUCUCCCGGCUCAACUGGGAGGGUGCGCGGGAAACUGGAGGGCUUGAGUAUGGGAGAGGAAAGCGGAAUUCCUGGUGUAGCGGUGAAAUGCGUAGAUAUCAGGAGGAACACCUGCGGUGUAGACAGCUUUCUGGACCAUCACUGACGCUGAGACACGAAAGCGUGGGUAGCAAACAGGAUUAGAUACCCUAGUAGUCC